This 253-nucleotide ribosomal RNA is filed under the name uncultured bacterium. RNAcentral describes it as "partial 16S ribosomal RNA". It matches the Rfam family "Bacterial small subunit ribosomal RNA", at positions 524 to 776 of the family's 1533-position model. The record is from RNAcentral.
GACAGAGGGUGCGAACGUUGUUCGGAAUUACUGGGCGUAAAGCGCGUGUAGGCGGCAAUGCAAGUCGGGCGUGAAAUCCCACGGCUCAACCCGUGGAAGUGCACUCGAAACUGCAUAGCUAGAGCCUGGAGAGGAAGGUGGAAUGCUUGGUGUAGAGGUGAAAUUCGUAGAUAUCAGGAGGAACACCAGUGGCGAAGGCGGCUUUCUGGACGGUAACUGACGCUGAGACGCGAAAGCGUGGGGAGCGAACAGG